This 468-nucleotide ribosomal RNA is filed under the name uncultured bacterium. Its description in RNAcentral is "partial 16S ribosomal RNA". It matches the Rfam family "Bacterial small subunit ribosomal RNA", at positions 28 to 507 of the family's 1533-position model. The record is from RNAcentral.
GACGAACGCUGGCGGCGUGCUUAACACAUGCAAGUCGAACGGAAAGGCCCUGCUUUUGUGGGGUGCUCGAGUGGCGAACGGGUGAGUAACACGUGAGUAACCUGCCCUUGACUUUGGGAUAACUUCAGGAAACUGGGGCUAAUACCGUAUAGGAGCUCCUGCUGCAUGGUGGGGGGUGGAAAGUUUCGGCGGUUGGGGAUGGACUCGCGGCUUAUCAGCUUGUUGGUGGGGUAGUGGCUUACCAAGGCUUUGACGGGUAGCCGGCCUGAGAGGGUGACCGGCCACAUUGGGACUGAGAUACGGCCCAGACUCCUACGGGAGGCAGCAGUGGGGAAUAUUGCACAAUGGGCGGAAGCCUGAUGCAGCAACGCCGCGUGCGGGAUGACGGCCUUCGGGUUGUAAACCGCUUUCGCCUGUGACGAAGCGUGAGUGACGGUAAUGGGUAAAGAAGCACCGGCUAACUACGUG